CUUGACCGACCCGAGCCGCAGCGGGCGCCCGGGAUCGCGGUCCUGACCGUAGGUGGCCAGCAGCGCCUGCGCCUC
RNAcentral lists this antisense RNA (75 nucleotides) under Streptomyces sp. MnatMP-M17. RNAcentral's name for it is "ASpks TB sRNA". It matches the Rfam family "ASpks TB sRNA". The record is from Rfam by way of RNAcentral. Lineage: Bacteria; Bacillati; Actinomycetota; Actinomycetes; Kitasatosporales; Streptomycetaceae.